RNAcentral lists this ribosomal RNA (700 nucleotides) under uncultured bacterium. Its description in RNAcentral is "bacterial SSU rRNA". It matches the Rfam family "Bacterial small subunit ribosomal RNA", at positions 12 to 711 of the family's 1533-position model. The record is from RNAcentral.
UUUGAUCCUGGCUCAAGAUGAACGCUGGCGGCGUGCUUAACACAUGCAAGUCGAACGAAGCACCUGAGAAUGAUUCUUCGGAUGAAGUCUCUUGUGACUGAGUGGCGGACGGGUGAGUAACGCGUGGGUAACCUGCCUCACACAGGGGGAUAACAGUUGGAAACGACCGCUAAUACCGCAUAACCCGCUGGUGCCGCAUGGCACUGACGGAAAAGAUUUAUUGGUGUGAGAUGGACCCGCGUCUGAUUAGCCAGUUGGCAGGGUAACGGCCUACCAAAGCGACGAUCAGUAGCCGGCCUGAGAGGGUGAACGGCCACAUUGGGACUGAGACACGGCCCAGACUCCUGCGGGAGGCAGCAGUGGGGAAUAUUGCACAAUGGGGGAAACCCUGAUGCAGCGACGCCGCGUGAGUGAAGAAGUAUUUCGGUAUGUAAAGCUCUAUCAGCAGGGAAGAAAAUGACGGUACCUGAUUAAGAAGCCCCGGCUAACUACGUGCCAGCAGCCGCGGUAAUACGUANGGGGGCAAGCGUUAUCCGGAUUUACUGGGUGUAAAGGGAGCGUAGACGGUGAUGCAAGUCAGAAGUGAAAGCCCGGGGCUCAACUCCGGGACUGCUUUUGAAACUGUGUGACUGGAGUGCANGANNAGUAAGCGGAAUUCCUGGUGUAGCGGUGAAAUGCGUANAUAUCAGGAGGAACACCA